GAUGAACGCUAGCGGCAGGCUUAAUACAUGCAAGUCGAGGGGCAGCACGGUUAGCAAUAACUGGUGGCGACCGGCGCACGGGUGCGUAACACGUAUACAAUCUACCUUAAACAGGGGGAUAGCCUUUCGAAAGAGAGAUUAAUACCCCGUAAUAAAUUGAACGGCAUCGUUUGAUUUUGAAAGCUCCGGCGGUUUGAGAUGAGUAUGCGUCUGAUUAGCUAGUUGGUGAGGUAACGGCUCACCAAGGCGACGAUCAGUAGGGGAUCUGAGAGGACUAACCCCCCACACUGGUACUGAGACACGGACCAGACUCCUACGGGAGGCAGCAGUAAGGAAUAUUGGUCAAUGGAGGCAACUCUGAACCAGCCCAUGCCGCGUGCAGGAUGACGGCCCUAUGGGUUGUAAACU
Molecule: ribosomal RNA, 408 nt
Filed under: uncultured bacterium
Lineage: Bacteria
Description: bacterial SSU rRNA
Rfam family: Bacterial small subunit ribosomal RNA
Source: RNAcentral